AAUAAUUUUGCUUUGAAUAUUUAUUGUUCAGCUUCAAAAAUUAUAUUGAUUGAUUGGUGCUAUAUCCUGCAUAAAAGCUGAAAUUUUUUAUUUAAAUAGUUCUUUGGUAGAGACAUUAGAAUUUAAUUCACAUAAAGCCAUAUAUCUGCUUUUAGAGUUAGAUAUAGUUUGAUAGUUUCACACACAUUUCUAAUAGGAUUUUUGUUGUUGUUGUUUGGUACCAUAUUGAACUCAGGGGCCCUUGACCACAGAGCAACAUCCCCAGCCCUAUUUUGUGUUUUAUUUAGAGACAGGAUCUCCCUGAGUUGCUCAGUGCCUUGCUUUUGCUGAGGCUGGCUUUGAACUCAUGAUCCUCCUGCCUCAGCCUCCCAAGUCACUGGGAUACAGGCAUGCGCCAACAAUGCUCAGCUCUGAUAUGGAUGUUUUUGUUGUGUUUUUUACUGAUUCAAUCUCUUAUUAAGUCUUUUUAGAAUUUCUAUGUCUAAGUCAGUUUUGAUGGAAGUUUUAUAGGAAUUUGUUCACAUUUAGUUGUUCAUAAUAUACCCUUAAAAUUCUCUAAAUUUUUU
RNAcentral lists this long non-coding RNA (566 nucleotides) under Marmota monax (woodchuck). Lineage: Eukaryota; Metazoa; Chordata; Mammalia; Rodentia; Sciuridae. The record is from RNAcentral.